This 158-nucleotide ribosomal RNA is filed under the name Coniella diplodiella. RNAcentral's name for it is "5.8S ribosomal RNA". It matches the Rfam family "5.8S ribosomal RNA". Rfam says of the family: 5.8S ribosomal RNA (5.8S rRNA) is a component of the large subunit of the eukaryotic ribosome. It is transcribed by RNA polymerase I as part of the 45S precursor that also contains 18S and 28S rRNA. Functionally, it is thought that 5.8S rRNA may be involved in ribosome translocation. Lineage: Eukaryota; Fungi; Ascomycota; Sordariomycetes; Diaporthales; Schizoparmaceae. The record is from RNAcentral.
AAACUUUCAACAACGGAUCUCUUGGUUCUGGCAUCGAUGAAGAACGCAGCGAAAUGCGAUAAGUAAUGUGAAUUGCAGAAUUCAGUGAAUCAUCGAAUCUUUGAACGCACAUUGGGCCCGCUGGAAUUCCAGCGGGCAUGCCUGUUCGAGCGUCAUUU